AGGUGAAUGGUGACAGCCAACAUGGCUUCACUAAGGGCAGAUCUUGCCUAACAAAUCUGGUGGUCUUCUAAGAUGGGGUUACAGCACUGGUAGAUAGGGGAGGAGCAACUGACAUCAUGACAACCAACUACCUGGACUUGUGCAAAGCAUUUGACACUGUCCCCCAUGAUAUCCUUGUCUCUAAAUUGGAGAGAUGGGGAUUUGAGGGACAGACCACCCAGUGGGUAAGGAAUUGGCUGGAUGGUCACACUCAGAGUUGUGGUCAGUGGCUCAGUGUUGAAGAAAAUGGGUGGAUGCCCCAUCCCUGGAGGUGUUCAAGGCCAGGUUGGAUGGGGUGCUACGCAAACUAACCUAA
Long non-coding RNA from Cygnus olor (mute swan), 355 nucleotides. RefSeq lists it as uncharacterized. The transcript is spliced from 3 exons. The record is from RefSeq and is a predicted model, not a curated record. Lineage: Eukaryota; Metazoa; Chordata; Aves; Anseriformes; Anatidae.